Molecule: unclassified non-coding RNA, 378 nt
Filed under: uncultured Mycobacteriaceae bacterium
Lineage: Bacteria; Bacillati; Actinomycetota; Actinomycetes; Mycobacteriales; Mycobacteriaceae
Description: contains 16S-23S intergenic spacer region
Source: RNAcentral
UCCGAGUUGACCCCGGCAGUCUCUCACGAGUCCCCGCCAUAACGCGCUGGCAACAUGAGACAAGGGUUGCGCUCGUUGCGGGACUUAACCCAACAUCUCACGACACGAGCUGACGACAGCCAUGCACCACCUGCACACAGGCCACAAGGGAAGAUGUGUUUCCACACCCGUCAGGCACAUGUCAAGCCCAGGUAAGGUUCUUCGCGUUGCGUCGAAUUAAACCACAUGCUCCGCUGCUUGUGCGGGUCCCCGUCAAUUCCUUUGAGUUUUAGCCUUGCGGCCGUACUCCCCAGGCGGGGUACUUAAUGCGUUAGCUACGGCACGGAUCCCAAGGAAGGAAACCCACACCUAGUACCCACCGUUUACGGCGUGGACUAC